AAGUCGUAACAAGGUUUCCGUAGGUGAACCUGCGGAAGGAUCAUUAACACGUAUCCAACGUUAAACCCCCCCGUGAACCUUUAUUGUGGCACGCCUAUCCGUUAGAAAGUGGCAAUCCCUGGUAAAUCAUCGCCGAACAGUUUUGAUUCAGGGACUUCUGCGUGGGUAGGACAACUGCGCGAGCAAGUGACCUGGCAUCCCUCUGCUUGUUAGUGUCUGAAAGUGUCACUAGCUCGGCCCCCUAGAUCACCCCUUUGCAUGAAAACGGGCCUGCGCUUAAUUGUGCGGCCACCAAACUCGAACAACUGUUAACAAUGGAUAUCUUGGUUCUC
Molecule: unclassified non-coding RNA, 332 nt
Filed under: fungal sp.
Lineage: Eukaryota; Fungi
Description: partial internal transcribed spacer region
Rfam family: Eukaryotic small subunit ribosomal RNA (bases 1-46)
Source: RNAcentral